RNAcentral lists this transfer RNA (69 nucleotides) under Enteromius hulstaerti (butterfly barb). RNAcentral's name for it is "tRNA-Met". It matches the Rfam family "tRNA". Rfam says of the family: Transfer RNA (tRNA) molecules are approximately 80 nucleotides in length. Their secondary structure includes four short double-helical elements and three loops (D, anti-codon, and T loops). Lineage: Eukaryota; Metazoa; Chordata; Actinopteri; Cypriniformes; Cyprinidae. The record is from RNAcentral.
GGCAGAGUCAGCUAACAAAGCUUUCGGGCCCAUACCCCGAGCAUGACGGUUAAAAUCCCUCCUCCGCCA